Long non-coding RNA from Phycodurus eques (leafy seadragon), 3768 nucleotides. RefSeq lists it as uncharacterized. The transcript is spliced from 3 exons. Lineage: Eukaryota; Metazoa; Chordata; Actinopteri; Syngnathiformes; Syngnathidae. The record is from RefSeq and is a predicted model, not a curated record.
GCGCCAACGAGGCAUUCGAAACUCACCACGGGAUUGCCGUCGGUCCAGCGGAAGUCCCUCUCGAACAUCCUGUCGUUGAGGCCGAUCCACUGGUAGUCGCCGGCCAGACCUGCGCACACCGCGCCAGUUCAAGUCUUGAGCUACACUCCGACGGAGCGGCGAACGCGCGUCCCGAUGUUUUUGCGACUCACGGUUGACGAAGAUUUGCUCUUCCGGCGACAGGACGCUGGCCAAGUGAGCGCCGUAGAGGCGACACUCGCGCUCGGCGGCGUCCCAAGUGCGGCGCCGGCGGAAGGCCUUGUAGCAGUGAGACUGGAACUUGAGCCAGCCGGAGCCGCACGACGCCGUGUCUGCGGGGGCGGGGCCGGAAGUGAGCAGGAAGUCCGCGGAAACGCGCGAGCGCUCUCGACGCCUCCCUAGCGACCGCAUCCUCAUCAGCGGCCGUUUUGCGUUCACAUCCGCUUGAAUCGGGGCAUCGGCACCGCUCCCCGGCGUAGCUGGGCAGGCACAGGCAGGAGAAGCCGCUGGCGGCGUCCAGGCAGGUGGCGCCAUUGAGACACGGGUUGGAAUCGCACUCGUCCACGUCUGCCGCACAAAAAGCGCAUUAUCAUCAAUAUGAUUAUUAUUAUUGCUAUCCCCGUAGCCUUUCUCCUACUCUGGGGGCACGCGCGUCAUCCCUGCACCUGACGACGAGGCUCACCUGUUUGACAGCGCCCCCCGGUGUAUCCUGGUGCACAUGCGCACACCUUCUCUGAGCCCCUCUGGUAGCAGGAGCCGCCAUUUUGACACACAUCCACGGAGCACGGCGGUAUAUCUGCGCUCAUGUGACAUCAUCACGACAUGACAUAAUCCCAACGUGACAUCAACACAACGUGACAUCGUCACAACAUGACAUCAUCAUUCGUACCGAUGCCGCCUUUGGCACUGGUGGCUUAGCUUUAACGUGUUAGCUUGCCUUAAAAUAAUGUGCGUAUGUGGGGAAGAAAAGUGGACAUGACAAACAUGCUUUCAUUGCGAGGGAGGCACUAAAAUCGAGUUGUGCAUCUGGAGAUUUGCAACCUUUACUGCAGACGUGCGUUUCCCUGACGUACCCGUGACAUUGAUGAAGCCGACGUCCAGCGGGUCAGGCUGCUCUACGGUCUCCUCGGGCCCGGGGGGCCGCCGCUCCGCCGGCCGGGGGGCCAUCUCGCGGUCGUAGGCAAGGAAGUCCUCCCGCGGGGUCGGCACGUCGGCCCGGGCGGGGGUCGGCGCCCGCCGGGGGACGACACGGGCGUCGACGUCUCGCGAGGGCCGAGCGGUAGCGGAAACCUUUUGUUGGCCCGUAAACGGCCAGGUCGUCGUCUCUUGGUGAAGGUUGGCGGGGUGCGGCCGAGGGUUAAAUGGAGGCUGUUUGGCGCCGACCGUGACGGCAGCUAGGGGGCGGGCGGAUGGUUCUUCCGCCACGUGGUCUCCAGGGUCCGGGGGUGUUGGUAACAUUUCUUCAGGAAUGGGACCGCCCCGCUCUCCUGAAGCCUCCCAGUCUCCUGCCACCUGCUCCGCACCGGACCCCACCUCUUUGUCGCCGCCCACAGGUGCGGACGGCGCCUCCUCCAUCUCGCCGUCGUCUUCGCCGGAAGUAGACCCCUCUACGUCCUCCGCGUGGACCCCGGUCUCACGCUUCGCAGUUUCCGGGGCGGACGAGGGACCCUCGGGGCCUCCGAGUUCCGCCUCGUCGCCGGCGAGGGCGUCGUCCGUGCUGGCCUCCGAGGGCGAGGCGGUGGGGGUGGCGCUCCUUAUCGGCGACGCUGUAUUCGGGAAAUAAGAAAGGUGGUCUAGAUGGCGGGUGUCGGUCACGGGAUCCGCGGGGGGCUCCUCCGCUGGGACUUCCAGGGCGACGUAGUCAAACGGCGUCACGCUCGCCUCUUCCUCGGCCACCCGAACGGGGGCGGCGGUCUCAAACUGAUCCCCUCGCGCCUCCUCGGGCGGCCCUGCGUCUAACGUCACCUGAUGGGAUGAGACGCAGGUGACUCGUUUUAUAUUUUCUAGGGUCGAUGUGACGCCAUCUCUUGGUAUUUAUAAGUAAUUAUAACGAGUUUAUGGGGGCUUCAAUCCCUCACGGAUUUUUGAAAUUCGCAGCAGGGCUUGUCCCUAGUGUAUUCUGUAUUUAAGUCAGCCUUGCCGAUUAAUUAAUUUGACCAACUAAUUCGAAUUUGUUUGUCAGGACAACUUUUUAGCUUAAAGCAGUCAUGUGCACUGCUUACACUAAUAACAUGGCUGCGAACGAAGAGGAGCUAGUCAGUGUUGACAAUUUCCAACCUCUCUAGCGACUACUUUCUUUCUUAUCUACUUUUCUUUUGUUUUUUUAAUAAAUCCAGCUCGCAAAAAAAGUCAACGUGAGCAAAAUACAUCUCACAUUGGUUUGAGUCGGACAAGAAAGGAAGAAGAUGCACAAGAAUUCUGUCAUUGUCAUUUGCAACAAAUGGAACUUUUUAGAUGUCAUUGUCCAAACGUAGAAGGGGCAUUCCUACUUUGUGUCUCCCGCUGACAAAGCUGACGGUCGGCAGAGGCUCGUCGGCGGCAUCGGCGUCUCCGUCGCCGUGGACGAGCUCGGCGAUCGACUGCGAGAGGUCGGAGAUUUGCGGCAAGCCGACGGCGCCGUCCGCAGGCGAAUUGAGGAGCUGCAGGAUGCGAUCGACUGAAAGGAAAGCAGAAAACAGGGCAACCCAGUGGUCAAGGGUGCUCACUGGACACCGGAGGCCAUAGUUGACUACGAUGAAGUGGAACGGCGGCUUGGCCGCGGAUCCGCCCUCGCCGGGCAGAGCCAACAAUCGGUUGACGUUAAAGCUGACGGGCGGAGCUUCCUCUUUGAAGCCCGACGCCGUUUUAUGCGCGACGCUCCAGUCGGGCAAAAGCGGCGCCAGCGACGACGCGCUAGGAGCGCCGUCGCCGCUGCCCGACCCCCCUCGAGCGGCAGGGAGGCGCGACGACGUGGCAGGAAAGAGCGACUCCAGGCGUGUGGGCCCGCGCUCCGUGAUGACAUCGUCGUCGUGCGACUCCGAAUGAGUGAGCGGUCUUGUUCGGAGCUGAGAUGUCACUGGGUGGGAUGUCGGUGAAUCGCGCUGGGCACUUGUGCCCCUGGGUUCUGGUGCGACCCGGACGCUGGUGGGACUUGUCGCUCCUGGGAGCUUGGCUGCAGGAAAGGAAGAAAGAAACAGAACUUACAGAAGACAGUGCUCCCGCACAAAUCUGCAAUUCCAUUUAUUUGCAUUUUACUUUUAACCAAUACUUAUUUGCUGACAAAAAUUGGUUUUUUGAUUGUUUUGUCUCAUGUUCCAAAUAAACAUUCAAUCACAAAAGACAAAUUGGAGAAAGGUGCUUCGAAGCUGUGAAGUUGGCCAGAACCAGAGGCAGGCCCUCCAAUGAACUCAAUCGACGUCAAAUGGAGUGUUUAUGUUCCCGCUGCGUUAGCUCACGUUCACCUUAACGCCGAUAGCGAAGGAUAACAAAGAUGGCCUCCAGGGGGCUGAAGGAAUCACGUCAUCACGAGUCCCGCGAGAGUUUGUGGUGACUAUCGUUGGCCUGUACGCGCGACUCUCAUAUGGAAUUGACGGGAAAAAGAAAGGAUUAGCUUUGCUAUCUGAGUAACGCUAACGUCACAACGCCGCCGCUCGCCGUCGGCCAUAAAAGGACAACCAUUUAUUCCAUAUCCACGAUAUCCAGCUUAACAUCCGUGUACUAGUACUCUUUGCUGUCACUCGUAAGAAAAUUCGGCACAGAAGUACGACGACU